Non-coding RNA from Ailuropoda melanoleuca (giant panda), 52 nucleotides. The record is from Rfam. NCBI's taxonomy places the organism in Eukaryota, Metazoa, Chordata, Mammalia, Carnivora, Ursidae.
UUUUUAGUGUAAGUAUGUCCCAUGCAAUAUUUGGAACAUACAUAUACUAGAA